This is a long non-coding RNA of Vidua chalybeata, 619 nucleotides long. RefSeq lists it as uncharacterized. The transcript is spliced from 5 exons. Lineage: Eukaryota; Metazoa; Chordata; Aves; Passeriformes; Viduidae. The record is from RefSeq and is a predicted model, not a curated record.
CAGACCCUCACCGUACAAGGCGCGGCGGGAGAUGCGGCCGGGCCGGGCCGGCCCUGCCCCGGCCUCAACCCCGACCCUCCGCCCGCCCCUCCUGCGGCCGGGCCCGGCUGCGCGGCCACGCUAAAACAGGAGCCCCGCCGGCACGGAGGGACGGAGGACAGGAGGGCGACGCGGCUCGGCGCAACCUAGCCACCCAUCCCUACCUUCUCCUCGUCGGACAGCUGCUCCUCCAGCAGGAAAUCAGAAUUCUUUCUUCAGAGAAUUUUGGAUUAAGCCCUUUUGCAAGUCUGCAAAUCUUAUCAAACAAUAUAUUCAAGGAGUCAAAGGACAGAAAAUUUGAGAUUGCAAGAGAGCCAAGAUUUUACCCACAUGGAUUCUGAAGCUGAUGAUGACUGUGGAUAAGGUCAGGUGUCCCAGAUACAAAACACCUUACAGACAUGAAACGCAGGAUGGAUGACCCUGAGGGACACAGAUUCAGGAAGGACUGUGGCACUAUAUACAGACAAGGACCCUGGUGCUUGUAGAAUGAAAGAAGCUCAAAUGGGAGCAGGUCCCAGCCUCAGAAAGCUUAACUCUUCCAAAAAUUUGUUGAAAUGAUUUUUUUUUAAAUUGUACUGGC